AAUGAUGAAUGUCAUAGAUUAGACAUAUAAUAGUUUAUUCUAUAAAUGAAAGUGUAAGCAUUCCACCUCAAGAGUAAUUUGGCAACAUUGGAACUGAAAUCAUUAGACCGUUUCUGAAACCAGUAGUGAAGUAUGUUGUUUAAUUUGAUAAUCCACAAAAAACCUUACCACAAUUUGAAUAUUUAUAUUAUUUUUCUCAUCUAUUAUAUUUUAUAAAAAUAAUACAUUUACAAGCGUUGCACGGCUGUCUUCAGUUAAUGUCGUGAGACUUUGGUUAGUUCCAUUAAAUUAACGUAAACCCUCACUUUAUUUUUAUAUAAAGUAGUUCCCCACUAGAUUGGAUAAGAUAACAGGGACUAAGACAAGUCAUCAUGGCCUAAAUAUUGUGGGCUAUA
RNAcentral lists this ribosomal RNA (395 nucleotides) under Lecanora pulicaris. Its description in RNAcentral is "SSU rRNA". It matches the Rfam family "Bacterial small subunit ribosomal RNA", at positions 805 to 1218 of the family's 1533-position model. Lineage: Eukaryota; Fungi; Ascomycota; Lecanoromycetes; Lecanorales; Lecanoraceae. The record is from RNAcentral.